GAUGAACGCUAGCUACAGGCUUAACACAUGCAAGUCGAGGGGCAGCAUCGCGAUAGCUUGCUAUUGCGGAUGGCGACCGGCGCACGGGUGAGUAACGCGUAUCCAACCUUCCCGCAACUGGGGGAUAACCUUGCGAAAGUAAGACUAAUACCCCAUGGUCUCCACGGAUGGCAUCUGAAAUGGAGUAAAGGUUUCGGCCGGUUGCGGAUGGGGAUGCGUCCGAUUAGCUUGACGGCGGGGUAACGGCCCACCGUGGCAUCGAUCGGUAGGGGUUCUGAGAGGAAGGUCCCCCCACAUUGGAACUGAGACACGGUCCAAACUCCUACGGGAGGCAGCAGUGAGGAAUAUUGGUCAAUGGGCGGAAGCCUGAACCAGCCAAGUAGCGUGAAGGACGACUGCCCUAUGGGUUGUAAACUUCUUUUAUGCGGGGAUAAAGUUCGCCACGUGUGGCGUUUUGCAGGUACCGCAUGAAUAAGGACCGGCUAAUUCCGUG
RNAcentral lists this ribosomal RNA (493 nucleotides) under uncultured bacterium. RNAcentral describes it as "bacterial SSU rRNA". It matches the Rfam family "Bacterial small subunit ribosomal RNA", at positions 28 to 507 of the family's 1533-position model. The record is from RNAcentral.